ACUUUCUUUUAUAAGUUUGGUGCUAAAAUUGCGGAAACUAGAACCAUAUCUUGGUUUUUGUAAUAAUGCUGGCAGAGUACACACAAGAAGAAAAGGUAAAUGCACUAGAUUGUAAAGACUGGGGUAGAGUCUUUCUUAAUGUUUGGUGUCCUUUGUCUUAAGAGUUGGUGCAGUAUGU
Cynocephalus volans (Philippine flying lemur) is the source of this 178-nucleotide small nucleolar RNA. RefSeq annotates it as small nucleolar RNA SNORA81. The transcript has a single exon. NCBI's taxonomy places the organism in Eukaryota, Metazoa, Chordata, Mammalia, Dermoptera, Cynocephalidae. The record is from RefSeq and is a predicted model, not a curated record.